UGGCGGACGGGUGAGUAACGCGUAGGAAACCUGCCGUAUACUGGGGGAUAACACUUAGAAAUAGGUGCUAAUACCGCAUAAGCGCACAGCUUCGCAUGAAGCGGUGUGAAAAACUCUGGUGGUAUACGAUGGUUCCGCGUCUGAUUAGCUAGUUGGUGGGGUAAUGGCCUACCAAGGCAACGAUCAGUAGCCGGCCUGAGAGGGUGAACGGCCACAUUGGGACUGAGACACGGCCCAAACUCCUACGGAAGGCAGCAG
Molecule: ribosomal RNA, 258 nt
Filed under: uncultured bacterium
Lineage: Bacteria
Description: partial 16S ribosomal RNA
Rfam family: Bacterial small subunit ribosomal RNA
Source: RNAcentral